UGGGGAAUUUUGGACAAUGGGCGAAAGCCUGAUCCAGCAAUGCCGCGUGUGUGAAGAAGGCCUUCGGGUUGUAAAGCACUUUUGUCCGGAAAGAAAUCCUUGGCUCUAAUACAGUCGGGGGAUGACGGUACCGGAAGAAUAAGCACCGGCUAACUACGUGCCAGCAGCCGCGGUAAUACGUAGGGUGCAAGCGUUAAUCGGAAUUACUGGGCGUAAAGCGUGCGCAGGCGGUUUGCUAAGACCGAUGUGAAAUCCCCGGGCUCAACCUGGGGAACUGCAUUGGUGACCUGGCAGGCUAGAGUAUGGCAGAGGGGGGUAGAAUUCCACGUGUAGCAGUGAAAUGCGUAGAGAUGUGGAGGAAUACCGAUGGCGAAGGCAGCCCCCUGGGCCAAUACUGAUGCUCAUGCAACGAAGC
Molecule: ribosomal RNA, 415 nt
Filed under: uncultured bacterium
Lineage: Bacteria
Description: partial 16S ribosomal RNA
Rfam family: Bacterial small subunit ribosomal RNA
Source: RNAcentral